RNAcentral lists this ribosomal RNA (200 nucleotides) under uncultured bacterium. RNAcentral's name for it is "partial 16S ribosomal RNA". It matches the Rfam family "Bacterial small subunit ribosomal RNA", at positions 524 to 724 of the family's 1533-position model. The record is from RNAcentral.
UACAGAGGGUGCGAGCGUUAAUCGGAAUUACUGGGCGUAAAGCGUGCGUAGACGCUAUCUAAGUCGGGUGUGAAAGCCCCGGGCUCAACCUGGGAAUUGCAUUCGAGACUGAAUAGCUAGGGUACGGUAGAGGGAAGUGGAAUUUCCGGUGAGCGGUGAAAUGCGUAGUAUAUCGGAAGGAACAUCAGUGGCGAAAGCGA